RNAcentral lists this ribosomal RNA (242 nucleotides) under uncultured Actinomycetales bacterium. RNAcentral describes it as "partial 16S ribosomal RNA". It matches the Rfam family "Bacterial small subunit ribosomal RNA", at positions 88 to 334 of the family's 1533-position model. Lineage: Bacteria; Bacillati; Actinomycetota; Actinomycetes; Actinomycetales. The record is from RNAcentral.
UACUCGAGUGGCGAACGGGUGAGUAACACGUGGGUGAUCUGCCCUGCACUUCGGGAUAAGCUUGGGAAACUGGGUCUAAUACCGGAUAGGAACCAUCUUUAGUGUGGUGGUUGGAAAGUUUUUUCGGUGUAGGAUGAGCUCGCGGCCUAUCAGCUUGUUGUGGGGUAAUGGCCUACCAAGGCGGCGACGGGUAGCCGGCCUGAGAGGGUGUACGGCCACAUUGGGACUGAGAUACGGCCCAG